This is a non-coding RNA of Podarcis muralis (Common wall lizard), 1024 nucleotides long. The record is from RefSeq and is a predicted model, not a curated record. Lineage: Eukaryota; Metazoa; Chordata; Lepidosauria; Squamata; Lacertidae.
AAGAUCUCUCGCACGGAUUAGGAGAAUGCCUUUGUCUGCGCCCCCCUGCGGAUCUCAGCAGCUCCUGAAAGGGCUGUUCUUUCUUUCUCUCGCUCUCUUUCUCUCUCUCUCUCCCCCCCCCCUCAUUUUCUUUCGUGGGGAGGAAUGCAGAGGAAAGUUUCCCGAAGUUUGCGCGCUUCGCGGUUGCGUAACAGAAAUGGCAACGGUCGGGGAAACUGGCUUGGCUCUUUGCAGGAAGCGAUGGGAGAUGGAUUGGUCUGAGAUGAUGCAAUAUUCGGAGCGGUUGUGCCCAUUUAGGAAGUCCACUGUUCUGCACCGAAUACAACUUCUGAACAUUUCCCCAAGCCAGCUCUAUACAGGGUGCAUUUCUGUACUCAAAUCUGGAGGUGACUGAAGUGGCCAAAAACUAUUUCUGAGAUGAGGCUGUAGUUGAUAAACCAGCUGUGUGACUGAAAUGCUUAUGGUCCUGGGCACUUUCACAUGACCUUCUUAUUGAGUAUUCCUUCUGACACAGUUGUGGGGAGGUUGAGUGAAGUUGCAUCAAAGCAGCUUUUGAGUUCAUUUCUCCAUUACUUUCCUUAUCACUAAAAGCCUAGUCUUUGGGGGAAGGAGGUUUGUUACGCAGGUGCUGAUCAACUAUAAUUGUGUGAUGUACAUUUGCUAGUCUGUGAUUGAAUUCUACUCAAAAAUAGCAACCGUUUGGAAGCACCUGCUACCCUUCUCCCCCUCCCCCCCAGGUUCUUCCUUCACAUCUGCAUGACUGGAGCAGCGUUGAGAGAAACUACAGAGUAAAAAAUGCUCCUCUCCUACUGCCAGUAAAUGCGACUCAGCCCUUAGGCCUGUACUGGAAGGAACGCACAUGAAUGCAGCCAGAAUUAAUUAAAUGUGUGCAUAAUUGCCAUUCUACUUUUUCAGGUUCUCCAGGUUUUCCCUAUGUCUUUGAUCAUUAAAGCAGAUCUCACAGUUUCUGUGCCUUCUGCACUGUUCCCCUCGAAAGUGGGUAGAUGUGAACUGACACUAGUAA